Mirounga angustirostris (Northern elephant seal) is the source of this 851-nucleotide long non-coding RNA. RefSeq lists it as uncharacterized. Lineage: Eukaryota; Metazoa; Chordata; Mammalia; Carnivora; Phocidae. The transcript is spliced from 3 exons. The record is from RefSeq and is a predicted model, not a curated record.
GAGGCGCGAGGACUGCAGCGCGGCCAGGGGGCGGGCGGAGGCGCGGCGAGCCCCGCCCGGGGGCGGACAGUUGCGGGCUCCUGCGGGCGGGCGCCGUCACGUGACGCGCGAGGCGGGGGAUGCCGGGAGCCGGGCCGGCGGCCGGGGUGACGCUCCCAGACCACCGCAGAGGAAAAGGAGCCCGGAGUCUCUGCUGGGAGGGGAGCGAGAGGGCGACGCCAGGGAGACGCUUCGGAUGCUGCCAAGUCGAGCCGGUGGAAGGACGAUUACGGCUUCUCGUGCGUGGCCCCAGAAGGGCAGAAAUAGAAUCAGUGGGCGGAAAUUGCAGGGAGGAAACCAAUUCACAUCAGAUACAAAGGUCACUGAAAAGAAGCAAAUAUUUUAGUGGCAGCUAAGUCAACAAAAAAGAGAUCAGCACCGAAGGAAGGAAACUUGAUAUUAAGAGCUCUGGAUUCUAGAUCAAGAUCAUGCACUGAAUCGCUGAGUGACCUUGAGCCAGCCAUUUUUCUACUCUCUAAGUUUCUGUCGGCAAAACAAGGGAGCUGCUCGGAAGGGGAGCGGAGGGGAGGGGGAAUAAACCCUCGAGGCUCUUUCAAUUAAAACGCUCUUAAAGGCAGGGCGAGGCGGGAUGAUCACCCUCGCACUCCAGGCCACCGCGUGUACUUCUGACCCCGACCCGCAGACCCUAAGCCGCGCCUGCGCCCGCUGAUCUCGACCCACAUGUCCCACCCUCCCGCGACCACUCAGCUAGCUCAGCUCGCAGGCCCCCAGAGAACCAGAGUUGGGUGGGCGGUGUCCGCGAGCUCCCCGCGGGUCUCAUGGCCGCAGCCUGGAAGGACACUCACUGACUC